GAUGAAGAACGCAGCGAAAUGCGAUACUUGGUGUGAAUUGCAGAAUCCCGUGAACCAUCGAGUCUUUGAACGCAAGUUGCGCCCGAAGCCACUAGGCCGAGGGCACGCCUGCCUGGGCGUCACACGUCGUUGCCCCCCACCAUCUACUCCUUCGGGAUUGCGGGGGGCGGAUGAUGGCCUCCCGUGCGCCUAGCCGCGCGGUUGGCAUAAAUACCAAGUCCUCGGCGACGCACGCCACGACAAUCGGUGGUUGCGAACCCUCGGUUGCCCGUCGUGUGCGUUCGUCGCGCAUCGAGGGCUCGAAAAAAUGCUCGGCUCCGGCUCGGCUUUCAACGCGACCCCAGGUCAGGCGGGGUUACCCGCUGAAUUUAAGCAUAUCAAUAAGCGGAGGA
RNAcentral lists this unclassified non-coding RNA (392 nucleotides) under soil metagenome. RNAcentral's name for it is "partial contains 5.8S ribosomal RNA, internal transcribed spacer 2, and large subunit ribosomal RNA". The stretch from base 1 to 122 matches the Rfam family "5.8S ribosomal RNA", at positions 35 to 154 of the family's 154-position model. The record is from RNAcentral.